Xylona heveae TC161 is the source of this 72-nucleotide transfer RNA. It matches the Rfam family "tRNA". From Rfam's summary of the family: Transfer RNA (tRNA) molecules are approximately 80 nucleotides in length. Their secondary structure includes four short double-helical elements and three loops (D, anti-codon, and T loops). The record is from Rfam. Lineage: Eukaryota; Fungi; Ascomycota; Xylonomycetes; Xylonales; Xylonaceae.
GGGCAAUUGGUCUAGUGGUAUGAUUCUCCCUUAGCAUGGGAGAGGUCCUGGGUUCAAUUCCCAGAUUGUCCA